GGUGGAGAGUGGCGCACGGGUGAGUAACACAUUGGCUGACCUGCCCCUCAGAGGGGGACAACCGGUGGAAACGCCGGCUAAUACCCCAUGCUUGCGUCCGGGUUAGAGGCCGGAUGCAGAAAGGCCGAGGCGCUGAGGGAGGGGGCUGUGGUCCACCAGCUAGUUGGUAGGGUAACGGCCUACCAAGGCGAGGACGGAUAGGGGGCCUGAGAUGGUGACCCCCCACACGGGCACUGAGACACGGGCCCGACUCCUACGGGAGGCAGCAGUAAGGGAUAUUGCGACAAUGGGCGAAAGCCUGACGCAGCAACGCCGCGUGGAGGAUGAAGGCCUUCGGGUUGUAAACUCCUUUUCUGUGGGAAGAGGAAGGACGGUACCACAGGAAGAAAGUCUCGGCUAACUACGUGCCAGCAGCCGCGGUAAAACGUAGGAGGCGAGCGUUAUCCGGAUUUACUGGGUGUAAAGCGCGUGCAGGCGGUCUGGUAAGUCGAGCGUGAAAGCUCCCGGCUCAACCGGGAGAGGACGUGCGAAACUGCGAGGCUAGAGACAGGUAGAGGCGUACGGAAUUCCGGGUGUAGUGGUUGAAAUGCGUAAAUCUCCGGAGGAAACACCAGUGGCGAAGGCGGUACGCUGGGCCUGGUCUGACGCUAAGACGCGAACGCAUGGGGAGCGAACGGGAUUAGAAACCCCGGUAGUCCAUGCCGUAAACGAUGCUAACUAGGUGUUGCGGGUAAAAGACCGGCAGUGCCGGAGUUAACGCGAUAAGUUAGCCACCUGGGGACUACGGUCGCAAGGCUAAACUCAAAGGAAUUGACGGGGGCCCGCACAAGCAGCGGAGCGUGUGGUUUAAUUCGAGGCUACACGAAGAACCUUACCUGGGCUUGACAUGACGGUGGUAGGGAACCGAAAGGGACACGACCUUCGGGAGCCGUCACAGGUGCUGCAUGGCUGUCGUCAGCUCGUGUCGUGAGAUGUUCGGUUAAGUCCGGUAACGAGCGCAACCCUCAUCGCUAGUUACAAGUGUCUAGCGAGACUGCCCGUU
Molecule: ribosomal RNA, 1042 nt
Filed under: uncultured organism
Description: bacterial SSU rRNA
Rfam family: Bacterial small subunit ribosomal RNA
Source: RNAcentral